Molecule: ribosomal RNA, 497 nt
Filed under: uncultured bacterium
Lineage: Bacteria
Description: partial 16S ribosomal RNA
Rfam family: Bacterial small subunit ribosomal RNA
Source: RNAcentral
GACGAACGCUGGCGGCGUGCCUAAUACAUGCAAGUAGAACGCUGAAGAGAGGAGCUUACUCUUCUUGGAUGAGUUGCGAACGGGUGAGUAACGCGUAGGUAACCUGCCUUGUAGCGGGGGAUAACUAUUGGAAACGAUAGCUAAUACCGCAUAACAAUGGAUGACACAUGUCAUUUAUUUGAAAGGGGCAAUUGCUCCACUACAAGAUGGACCUGCGUUGUAUUAGCUAGUAGGUGAGGUAAUGGCUCACCUAGGCGACGAUACAUAGCCGACCUGAGAGGGUGAUCGGCCACACUGGGACUGAGACACGGCCCAGACUCCUACGGGAGGCAGCAGUAGGGAAUCUUCGGCAAUGGGGGCAACCCUGACCGAGCAACGUCGCGUGAGUGAAGAAGGUUUUCGGAUCGUAAAGCUCUGUUGUAAGUCAAGAACGGGUGUGAGAGUGGAAAGUUCACACUGUGACGGUAGCUGACCAGAAAGGGACGGCUAACUACGUG